Cervus elaphus (red deer) is the source of this 172-nucleotide long non-coding RNA. RefSeq lists it as uncharacterized. NCBI's taxonomy places the organism in Eukaryota, Metazoa, Chordata, Mammalia, Artiodactyla, Cervidae. The transcript has 4 exons. The record is from RefSeq and is a predicted model, not a curated record.
UUCCCAGCAUCAGGGUCUUUUCAAAUGAGUGGGUUCUUCGCAUCAGGUGGCCAAAGUAUUGAAGUUUCAGCUUCAGCAUCAGUCCUUCCAAUGAAUAUUCAGGACUGACUUCCUUCAGGAUCGACUGGUUGACUCUCCUUGCAAUUCAAGGGACUCUCAAAAUUCUUCUCCA